CCAAAACACAUGUCCGCGUACAGCUUCCUUUCCUUUUCUUCCCUUCUUGAUUUUCGGUUCCUGAUUUCUCGGGAUUAUUCAAUGAUGAAGGUUUCCAUGUUUUAGACUUUUCCAUAUCAUGCAUCAAAUCAAUCCUUACCAAGAUUACGAAGCAUUCCAACACUAUAAGAACCGAACCUCCACCAUCGAUUUUACUCACACUCGAACCUACUUUGGACAUCUAACUCGGAACCGCAACUCACCGGAGAAUCCAGAAGUUGUCGGAACGCCGAGCACCCUGUCGGAAACCAACCGAAGUUUACGACGGAACUCGUUCCUUUUCAUUUGCUCGCCGGAGAUCGAGUUACGUCGGGACACAAUUCUUCUCAUUUCGUUCGAACCAUUGGAGUCGCCGGAGAAAUCUCCGGAGUUCGGAGACGUCGCUGGAGCUCUUUGUCGGAACUCGGCAUCCAGUUUCGGUUAAUCACUCUUGUUCGUAUCUCUUGCAAUCUCUUGGAUAAACACAAACCUUUCUACUCUUCCUCAUUUACCAAGAAAACGCAACGCAAUCUAAGGUGAGUAUACUCGAUCCCAUUUUCGUUUUAAACACUUUGGGUGCAACAUGUAUUCCAUAUUCAAAUUACACAACACUUGAAACUUGUUAUAUUCAUACUCCAUCCACAUUUCAACACCAAAUAUUUUGCUGCUUGUUAAUCUCAUAUGCUAUGCAAGUUGAACGUAUUGAACAAGUUGAACGUAUUGAACAAGUUGAACGUAUCGAACAAGUUGAACGU
Molecule: long non-coding RNA, 773 nt
Organism: Helianthus annuus (common sunflower)
Lineage: Eukaryota; Viridiplantae; Streptophyta; Magnoliopsida; Asterales; Asteraceae
Exons: 3
Source: RefSeq, a predicted model, not a curated record